RNAcentral lists this transfer RNA (67 nucleotides) under Dendropoma gregarium. RNAcentral describes it as "tRNA-Tyr". Lineage: Eukaryota; Metazoa; Mollusca; Gastropoda; Littorinimorpha; Vermetidae. The record is from RNAcentral.
AAAGAAAUGGCCGAGUUUCAAGCGGUAAGCUGUAGACUUACUUCACGGGUGGCAAACCCUUUCUUUA